UUUUGCCUACUGACUUCAAUUGUCUUGUUAACAGGCCAGUUAUGGUAGACUUCAGCUGAAAAAAAAAGUUAUAAAAAGCAAUCUGGAAAGCCACCCAGGGGAGAUUUCAUGAAGAGGAGGGCAAUUUGUUAUUUUUCGUCUGAAUCCUUAGGUGCAUCUGCAGCCCACAGACCAGUGGCAGGAAACUAACAGACAUAAUUGACUGUGCUCAGCAGACCUCAAGAAACCAGAUGUCUUGUGUUAAGAAUACUCAAGCAGCACUAUGAGAAGGUUUACAUGCCACCAAGUUCCAGAUGCUAGCAGGAUGCGACCAGACUUCCCUGGACAGACAACCCCACCAAUGUGCCUUGGAGCUCCGCUUUCCCAGAGCCCUUCCCCACUAGGGAAAGAGAGAGACAGGAUGGGAGUAUGGAUAGACCUGUCAACGCCCAUGUUCAUCAGGGAGGCAAUUGCAGAAGCCAGACCUUCAUCCUUCUGCAUCCCACAAUGAUCUUGAGUCCACACUCCCAGAGGGUUAAGGAGUAGGAAAGCUAUCAGGGGAGGGGUUGGUAUACGGAGGUCUGGUGGUGGGAACUGU
Molecule: long non-coding RNA, 577 nt
Organism: Erinaceus europaeus (western European hedgehog)
Lineage: Eukaryota; Metazoa; Chordata; Mammalia; Eulipotyphla; Erinaceidae
Exons: 3
Source: RefSeq, a predicted model, not a curated record